This is a long non-coding RNA of Ooceraea biroi (clonal raider ant), 14462 nucleotides long. RefSeq lists it as uncharacterized. The record is from RefSeq and is a predicted model, not a curated record. Lineage: Eukaryota; Metazoa; Arthropoda; Insecta; Hymenoptera; Formicidae.
AUGUAUAUUACCUGUUACUUUGUGUUUGCUGGGGAUCCAUACAGAGAAUAUAGGACGCAGGCAAAUACACAAUUACGAGUAAAAGCGGAUAAUUCUAGAAAUUAUUUCAAAUUAAAUUUAAAAACUAUAUUUAUUAUAAAAACUAUAUUAAAUUUCGAUUAAAUUAAAAAAAUAUAUUUUUACAUAAAAAUAACUGGUACAUCUCGACGAGCUUUUGUUGAUCGAGUUAGGAUCUAACUGCGUCGUUCAUCAGUUCACGCUUAUACGGGCGGCAGUGGAACAAGAUCUGCAGGAUCAGCCGGUGACACACGACGUUCCGCUCACGAUCAGCUCACGGGAUGGAUGUUUGCGAAACCGACAUUUGGUGCCUCACGGAUGCUUGUACGCGCCGUUCUCCACGGCUUAAUGAGAUACCGGCGCACGUGAUCGUUACAUUAGAGGAUCCUCGUGGAAUAUGGAUUACCCGUCGAAUCGCGCUUACGUUAAACGUUGCGCUGACCGUUUUCAUCUCCCGCGUCUCGUGCAGCCGCAAAGUGUUUCGUUAUAAAAUUUCCGCCUGUAUUUGUGUGUAUGUGUGUGUGUUUGCGCUCCGCACGAUGACGAUACGCGAGAUCUUAACGAGCGCGAACGGAAUUACGAGAGACCUACGUCGUCGUUCUCGAUGAGGAAACAGUUGGCGCAAUAACGUCUCAAUGCAUUUGAUGGACGCUGUUCGCUCAUUUAUUCGCUGCACCCACGCACGGGUUGUACAGGGUGUUGCAGAGAGGGUUGCCCAGGAAUUGUUAACUUUUUAAAUCUGGGCGUUCCUGAGAUAGUUAAUUGCCUGCAGCGGGAAUUUCCAGCAAGAUCUCUUGCUUGCGGAUAUAUUUUAUCCCAGAAACGAGAAACGUUUCUUUUCCUCAAGUUAAUGACGAGCGAUUUCCGUAUCGGAGGUAUUUAAUUAUCCCGACGGGAAAAAAGAAAAUGUGAUUUACUUCUUUUUUUCUAAAAUUAUAAUCAAUCAGUAGUUAUAAUCGAAUUAAUGAGAGAAAGAGAGAGAAGAUUAAUUCCUUUUCAAUUAUCACACUAAUGCGAGAAAGAAGCGAACAUUACAAGCGGAAACGAAAAGCAAUAGAGAAUAAUUGCUUUUAUUCUUUAUUUCGCGGAUAAGUGUGUAGUUUUGCGGGAUAAAUCCCCCUGAGAGAAAGAGAGAUAGAGAGAAGGAAAAAAGAGAGAAAAUACUUUUCGUUUUUUAUCGAAAUAGUAACGUAUCCACGCUCGCUCGCUUUGCCCUCGCACGCGUCCAAAUUACGGGGGCGCGCAACAUUAUUAAUCGUCGCCGGUGUCGCGGAGGGUGCACGGCGUAUAAUCGAAUAAUUCUCGUCGGGAAUUCGGUUUUAUGCCGAAGAUGUGUCGGGGGGGAAGGGAGGGCAGACGACGAUUUGUUCUGCCGUAGCGAGAAUGACGGAUGGCGAUGACGGAGCCAAUUCCGCGGUCGUCCCAAGUUACCGCGAACUUUCGUCCUUUGCCGUGGUCGUUACGAGGCUCUCAAGGGCCGUCCUCGUCCUCCGACUCCUGUCAUCUUAUCGACGUGUAAUCGACUCGUCUACCUUCAACAUUUGCGAUGUGUGACACGAAGAGCGUCACGGGACACGUGGCAGCCGAUGGAACGUUAUAAUCGUAGCCGAAUUGCGGACUCUUCAAGAUUAGCUUAUUCAAUUUGCUUAAGUGAGGGUCUGCUAAUUCGAUUUUUUAAAAAUAUUAUUGAAUCUUGUAGAAAGAGAGAAACAGAGAGCGAGAGAGAGAAUAUUGUUAUUAAAAUUAAUUUCUAUAAAAUUAUUUGAGAAAUAUGAACUUGUUAUGACAAAGCAGAGGUUUUUCUUAUUGCUGCAGGCAAACUUGGAGUGAUUUGCUGGUGUACAUCUGCAUACAUCUUCGCGGCGAUAUAACAGGAUAAUGACGUGUGGUAAUACUAUCAGGUAAUAGUCUCCGUGACGGUUACGAUCUCUCUUUUGUUGCGCUAUCGUGUAAUCGAAAGGUGUUGCCGGCGCGGAGGCGAACGAGAUUAUAGGUAUCAAGCUAUUCGCGAUUACGAAAUGAGAAUUGGAAACUACUGCAGACUUAUGAUUAACAAGUGAACGGAGUGCCCCGAAAAGUGCUUCUUGCAACGGAAUAUGCAAUGCAUUCUUCAACAUGCAACUGACGUAAUAAUUUAUAAUCAGCAUUAUUAGUAAGAUCACAAAAAUAUUAUAAUAUUGUACAAAAUAUUUUAUAUAGAAUUGAUCGAAAAUUGAUGCGAUUUAUAAAAUUUGCAGUUCAAUAUUGAGAGCAUAAAUUCCACGUUUUAAACCGUUGCUUCAGAAAUAUUCAGAAUUCAGAAUUCGAUAUAUUAAUAUCGAUUAUUCGAUAGGAUUGAAGAAAUCGCAAAGAAUGCUUCAGUGCCAUGGACUGAAUUCCGCCUGGAAUCCCGCGCGGGGGUGCCUGUGGGGGUGUCAGUGCGAGCUGCAAUUCCGGACGCGGCGCUCCGGGAGACAUCAACAACCCCCGUCGUUCGGCAUUGAAGUUCGGCAUUCGAGGGGUGUCAAGUUACGGAGAUUUCAACAGAGAAAAGCCGAAACACGAGGCCGUCGAGCUCGAAUUCUCUCGGCGCCUCCUCGCUCUUUCCUCGCGCUCGCUCGCACCCUGCUCGUCGACCUGCUCCUCCGCUUCUCGUCCGCGGCCUCCUCCUCAUCCUCCCUCAUCGUCGGCGCAAACGCGGCGUUAUCGACCACCCGGAGCACCGCGACGACACGGCCGGUCGGCCGCGUGUGUCUGGCACGUGUGUGUCCAGCGUGUCUCUCUCAUCCGUGAAGAGUAAGUUGCGAGGAAAAAGAGAACGCGUUACUCAUAAAUUAAAUCUUCUGCCCUUUCACGAAGUCCUCAAAGCAUCUACGCUUUUGCGCUAACGCAAUGCGAUAACGUGUACAUCUGUUGCCUGAUCAUAUACUGGCUUGACCCAGAAGCUCGUCUGAACUUUGGAAAGGGAAAAGAUGAGCUGAGAUUUGUAAUAUUAAUGAAUCACGUUAAUUGAUAGCUUAUUUGCGAAGAAUAGAUGUAAAGUGAAUGUAGCGAUUUGCUCGUUUUACGCUUUCCCCGUAUGAAGCUUGAACUUGUUUCAUUUCAGUCGAACGAGGAAACUGCUGACACGGUGAUAAUGAGCAGAACACGUCGGAAUUUAACGUGUCGCGAACUUGUCGCAGAGAGAGCGCAGGGGGAAAUUUAGCGAGGUCCUGACACUGGUGGGCUCCCUCCGCUCGCGAAACCGCUCAUAUUUCAGACAACUCGUCGCGAAUGUAUUAUACAUAGUGUGUAUCGAGUUUCUCGUUCAACGCGAUACUUCAUUAGCCACGGUGAAAACGCACCGGGUCGGGUCAGGAGGGCUUACGCGCUCUCCAAUCGAUGGACCUCUCGCUUCUUCCCUUCGAUACACGCACACACACACACAUACCACGCAAGUAGAGACGAGAUGAGCUUCCCUUUGCAACCCCAUCGCGUGAUCCGCAAAUUAAAAAAAAGAGAAAGGCUGAACGCGUAGAAAGUCUCUCUCGCGGAUCUCUCGCGGAUGGUUGAUGCGGUCGAUUCAGCCAUGAAACUCUUCGCUCGCUGCACUCAGUAUACAACAACAAGAAAAUAGAAGAAAGAAGGGCAAUCAAAAAUAGCGCAUUAUCGAAAAUAUCAUGAAAUAUCAGUAAUGUCAGAAUCGGUUCACGGCGAUUCUAUUUGAAGCCGCAUCCUGAAUAUCCUGAAGAUCACUUUUAAUGCCGAGCGCUGCGGACGUGCUAUUCUCAGAUCAAUUCGCACAGGAGGAGAACAAUCAGCGUCGCAUGGGAAUAGAACGGCAUUUAGCGUGACGUGUUUAGCAUUACAGAGGUGCGCUGGGCCUGUAAUAUCCGCCCGUCAAAUUUCCAGAGUUCCCUGAAACCAAUACGCGACGACGUCGCGUGUUCAGCAACGGAACGUGAACGCUCAGCAGCCCGAGCAGAAGGCUGUUAAUGCUGGGCAGUUCGCGGAGGGUGUUUUUCACUGAAAACGAUCAUGCUCCUGCAAAGCCGAGGAACGGCGAGGAACGCGUCAGCAACGUUCGUGGCUGCAAUUUCCGAAAUUGCGUCUGCAAUUCCGCCGUAAUUCCGGAGUUGGAAGUGCCUCUUGUUCCCCCUUGCGAGCGAGCAAUUUUUACUUUCUGCAUCAUUAUUACGCAUCAUUUUACGAACUGCAUCUUCGACGUUAUGUGCGAUUAGAGAUCGCGAUCGGAAAAUCGAUCUCUCCAGUGCGUUGGAAAGCGACGCAACGCGGGAUCAGGCGUGCGCAGAUAUAAUUGGGACAAUGUUAAUUUUCCUUGCCGCAUUUCAUCAACGUUUGAAAUCGCAAGCAGAUCAGCCCGAAGGCAAUUCUGCGCGACGGUUAAAUGCAUAUACGGUAUGCAUUGCAUCUAUUUUGCGCUCGGGAUGGAUCAACGCUGAAUAUACGUACGUUUGAAUAUCUAGUUAAUAGCGCGUUACAUCGAUUGUACGCUAAAGCGCGCGCGCGCGUCUGCAUCUGCAUUACUUGACCGCGAUUCGAACGGCACGGAGUUUGCUUAAUUUUCCAUCAACAACUCGAUUCGUGCCGUCUAUUGUCACGGCGGAGCGCGACGUGAUUUCAUUAAAUUCUCCAUUAACAUUGUAUUUUACGCGAACGAUAUACCGCUUUGCGCUUUGCUGGGUUGCUGAGUGCUUCAAUUGACCUGUUUCUUCCAACCCGCAAGCGCUUUGAAAUUAAUUUCAAAAUUAAUCAGAGCGUUCUGCUCGGCUUAAUUAACCUGACACAGUUUUUAUGUGGAUAAUUGAAUAUUUAACCGCCGAGUGCAACACUGCGCAAAAACUUUGUCCAAGAGUUUCCAACAAAUUCCCCCCCCUCUCUCUCUUUAAAGUUAUUUUAAAUCAUUUAUGAAAAAACUAAAUUAUUUCCACGAUAAAGAAAUGUACGAAAGAAAUUAAUAUAGACAAUAUGAAAUUUCUCGCAAUGUUAAUAAUAAUAUACAAGGCAUUUUACAAAAUACAUCUAUUCUCCGAUGUGAGAAACAUCACCACUGUGUAUGUCUUCAUCUAAUGGACCAACAAACGAGGAAUAAGCCAAGGCUUUCAUUUUCUUAUUAGACCUUCAUUACGCUUGCAAGUCGUGACGCGUGCAGUCUCUUUCACGAGGAGCCUCGCGAAGUCCCGCACGUACACGGAACGGGAAGCGGGAUCGAUUCCGAAUCCGCUGGAAUAGGAAGCCGGAUUGCGGAGACCUCGACGAGGAGACUUCGACGGAUCGCGUGCACGGGGUAUCCGUUGAUCCGCGAAGAAAACGAGAUCGAGAAACCACGUGACGCGAGGGAUUAACUGAGCGUGCGUUCUCAAUCUUAGCGACCCCCCGCGGCAUCCGAAAAUCUCGAAUUAAUUUUCUUUCCCAUCUUCCUUCCUCUUUCUCUCUUUCUCUUUUUCUUCCAUCUCGUCCUCUUCUUUUCUUUGUGUGAGGGAGGAAAAACUACAUAAGGGAAAGCCCGCAGGGUGUAGUUAGGCCUUAGACGCUUUACGGAUUCAGGGAAACUUUCGCUUGCGGAUCUUCCGAGCUCGACGCGAUACGUAAGUUUCACCAUCGAAAACGUGAUGGAUUUUCCUUGGUUGUUCUUGCAUUCGUUAUGGUGCUUGCACAGUUUGGAAUUAACAUAUACCGUUAAUUACGUAAUAUUCUUUGUCAUUGUCACAUCUUCAGACUUCCUUCAAUAUUUCUUCAGUAUUAAUAUUCUUAAAUCGUCGAGAAAAAGAAGAUCGAACAGAUAUAGUUAUUUCUUCUUUAAAUUGAAGACAUCGAAGUUCUAUUUCUCCAUCUAGUCUUUAUUAUUUUCAGCAAAUUUUGCGAGGAAGAAAGAGAGUUACGUCAAUUUCACCAUUACGUGAUUUCCGACGUGGAGUAUUCCAAUAUGCGAGCGAAAGUAAAAAAUGGACAGGCUUGGAAGCUGCAGCUUUCUGUUAUUUUAAGAAUAUGAUUUAAAAAUCAUACGUCAGUGUCAUAAAUGAAGAAUGACGCGUGGAUCCUUCCAGCGCGCCGAAUACAGCGCUGUUCGAUUUCAGCCUCCGUUUUCCCAAGCGACGCGAGAUGGGAAUCAAGCAGAGAGCUACAUUUAACACGAACGCGCCCAGCUGGGAUUAUUCAUCUCUCACACCUCACGUCUCGCAUCUCCUCUGCAUUAUCUUGCAUCUGUUCAAUCCCGCGGUGCUGGUCCAGGUAAACCACAGAUAAACCAAGAUAAUAGAACGCACCAAUGGCAUCUAUUUACAUCGAACAAUGAAACUUUUCUUUAAUAUCCAACAAGCUUUCCCAUAAUUAAUUAUACAUCUUGAUCGCUUCAGAACUGCUCGAGAAUCGCGCGAAGCGUCGCUCGUCGCAGCAGCAUCUUUCUGCCAACGGGGACACGCACGGCGAACACCAUCAAUAAUGCAGCCGGUCGCAUUACAUCAUAUUACAUCAUACAAUGCGGCCGAUUUGAUGGGAACGCCAACGCGCGCGCCAGAGAUAAAACGCUAACAAUAAGAAAAGGCAAGACUGUGGAACGUUGCGCGAUGCGAGCUGCUUGGUCGAUGCGGAUCGAUCCGGCUCUUUAAGCGGGUCGCAACCUCCAGCGAGUCCGGCCUUUAGGACGAGGUCGCGUGCUGACCCAAAUCGGCAGCCUCACCUCGCCUUACCUGUGGUGCGCCAUGGCCGCCUCCUCCGGUGCUUCUCUUGCCUGCAAUCGUUACCCCGGAUUCUGCGCACUCUUGUCGCGGCGCGCCGAGGACACCCUUGCGAGAGGCGAGCCCGCUCGCCUGGCUCGUCUGGAUUCUACCCGGCGAACCGGGGGUCAACCCCUCGUUCUUUCACCUGGCCGCGGACGAUAACACGCGCCCCCGAGUCGUCGACGUCGGCGUCGCCGUCGGUCGAGACCUCGGUAAUGAGUAAAGGUUGAUGAAUAAUUGAGACCAUGAUUGAGUCGAGCUUCUAGUUUUGUGCAUGUUUCAGUUGGGAGAACUUUGCCCUCGAACAGUAAUGAAAAUACAAUACGAUAGUUCUGUUGGUUUCCGUAAUCUGUCAUAGCUAGAAGUAUUUUCGGUUUUAUUCCGCGUUGUCGCUGGACAUUAAAUGAUAUUUGCGUGUAUCGUUGAUGAAAGAUACUGUGGCAAUUUAUAAUCGAGCAAACACAUUGCCUCGUGUCGUGGCGCAAUUUGGAGUAGCUCUCCAAUUCGUUGCACGCAUCCAGCCAUCGUUGCCCGUUUCCGACGUGAUUGCGCCAACCAAUUGCGAAAGUAAUAACGACUUUUAUCUGUUAUAAAUUUCAACGCGGCAUGUUAGCGAGUCGGGAUUCUCCCAAAGUUUCAUCGUAAAGUGUUUAAUUACCGCCGACAACGGAGAUCUCGGAAAUCUAGGGCCGCAACAAUAUGCUGCGCGCAACAGGAUCGCUGCGCUGUGUGAACAAAAUGAAAUAAUGCCGUGGAAAAUCUUUGUUACAGAUACAACCGAGGCCUGCCUGCCUGCGAAAUGAUGAGAAACUAGUUUAAAACUUAGACGAGCGACUUAGGCAGGAAGAGAGAGACACAACUCCCAGUAUUUUACAUGAAAAAGUCUUUAAUGACUUUUCCAAAAAUUCCUUUUCAGAAAGAUGGCAACUUUUUAAGGAAGCAUUUUCUGAGAACGCGUUGUUUCCCAUGGCGCUACCAUUUCUGGACAACAAUAGACGAUAAUCCUCUUCUUCGUUCUCUCCUGAGGAAACUUUCCUCCGUUAGAAUAUUCAAGACUCAUGGCUGUCUGGAUGACUUUUUGGACGGCUUUCCGGCCAAACCUCGUAUUCAAGUCCUCCCCCUUCAGCCGAGGGUAGGAGCCGACGCGUGCACGGCGGUUCGCGAAGGCGUGUAAGACCCCCGUAAGUAACCUGCAUCGAUCCACCUGACCUGCCCUGCCCUGCUGCCGUCGUCCCUUCUUGCAUGUACAUCCCCGGACUCGAGAAAGAGAGAGACAGAGAGAGACUUUCUCGAGCCGCACGUUCGUUCGUUCGAGAAUCGUCGCGUGACCACCGGAGAACGGCAUAAACCGAGAUUCAGGCUGUGUAAUUCACGAAAAUUUCAGCCGGCUCCGAGUAAUGAUACGAUCAGAGAGUAACAAAUCGUGGCCCUUUAGCUGUCGCAGUAACGACCCAUACUUGCAGCGUUUUUACAAAAAUAGCUCGGUUAUUUUCCUACGUUUGACCCACUUGAAGCUUCUUCUGCCGAAGCUCUUUUACCGCCUCAACCCUCGCAUAUGUGAUCGAAGUGUCAUCUUUCAAAAAUUCUACUCGCUUUCCUCGUUAGGGAAAAUAUAUUCCUGUCCUUAUCAUUUUUUGGUAUCCUUUCCAGUUCUCCCAGAACGACCUGACAAGAGCAGUCGAUCUCGAACUGCUCGUCAAGCCAUUUCGAAAAUUGCAUUUCGGUCUUGUUCCUGGCCCAUGUUGAGCUCUCGGAGAGCAUUCGAUGCGCACGCCACGAGGACCCUUCCUCAAGGACGAGGAAGGGGCUGCCUUGAGACAAGAUAGAAUUAAAGGUUAAUCCCGCGGGGUAUAUCUACCCCAAUAAGAGAGGGAAAGGGAGAGAAAGAGAGAGAGAAAGGGAGGGAACGGAGGGAUUUUUCCCUUCGCCGUGUUCCAUCGUGUUCUUUCAUCUUCCUCUCCUUCGGAGGAUAGGAAGGUUUUGUUUUUCACUCCAGACUGGAAGACACCAUAAAUAUUUGCGUUCCUAAGUGCUUCUCUGGAAUAUAAGAGCAAGCCGCCGUCGAGAAGACGCGGAUCUCUCUCGCGCGAACUGACGAAUGCUCUUUUACGUGAAAAGACGAUUUCCUUGUCUUGAUCAGCUUCGCAGGAAUGAAGACUGCAGUCAUUAUCCUUGAAGGAUCCUCCUAGAGGUUUUAUGCGCGCAACAUAAAUUUGCUUUCUGAGAAUUUUAGUCAAGUUCUGCGAUGCAAAAUUUACAAUCUGUUUAUAUUUAAUUUGCAUCGAAUCUUAUAUUAAAUUUACGUGUAAAAAGUGUGCCUUUCUAAAUAUUUAAUUAAAAAAUUUAGGUUAGUUAGACUUUAAGCACAAAAAUCCAAAUUAAUAAGCUUCUUAAAAUUCUUAGCAAUUGCUGGGUCGCCGCGUUGGCAUAUUUUACGUCUUCAACUUCUUCGAAUUUAAACUCCCGAUUAAAUUAUUUCGAACAUUUUUAAUAUAUACACGGACUUUGUAAUACAUAUGUAUACAAAUCCACUUUAAGCUCGAAUCUCUGCAAAACCAUCUCCUCGUUUCGUGCGUCUCCUUUCGAAUUAGUUGCGGAUUCUUCGGGAUCAUUCAGUCGUUCACCUCCGCCCCGCAUUACUGUCCAUUGCGCGCCUUCCAAGCUCCUGGGUGAGAUUGGCUUUGUGCACCCCUUAUCCGCGUAGGGACGAUUUACCCAGCUCGUAUCGGGUACAUAUUAUAUCGGCCAAUUUCGUGUACGACAUUCGUUUUGUUCCUGCCGAUCGUUCGUGUCUUCCAGGCGUGUUUCCAUAUCCCGUUUCUUCAUUCUCGAGGAAUCGAAAGAUAACACAAAGAAGGGAACAGAAUAAAUGAGAACAUAUUUAUAAAAAUUUUAUCGUACGAUUUACUCUCGUUCUUUUUUUAUAUAUUUUACGUGUUUCUCGCCAUCGAAUUUCUCACAUUAUUUAUUCAAACGUCACUCACCUCCCAGAAUUUUUUUAACAUUAAAUUCUUUUUGUUUUUAAUUACAACUGCUUUGUUAUUAUAUUAAUUACAAUUGCUUAACAGUAAUUAGUCCUGAAACAAUAUUUGACUCGGUUGAAAAUGGAACGAGAAUCGGAGGAACAUGCGUGAAACGCGGGUAAUGAGCGACAGUGGUAGUAGUAAGAGGCGAAACGAAUAGGACAAACCGCGAGAACGAAAACAUCGGAUAGGGGUUGUCACCCUUCGAGAUCGGCCGUUCGCCGCUGUAUCGUCGUAGCGAUCCCGCAGACAAUCCGUAAGGGCUUAGCGCUGUUUCAACAAGGGAUUACCGGCGCGUCCCUAAGCCGGGCGAUAUGCGAUCCACCGUUGCAGGAUCCACCCGCGUGCGCCCAUCGGGGACAAACAUUUAAAUUGCCAAGAUUACGCGAAGUGGCUGCGUGCUGCUGGUGAAACCGCGACAUUGUAUCCUGACGGAUACGCGAACGGGGAUCAUCCGCGUCUGGGCGUUUCUUUAAAUUAGCUUGGAUCUUUUAAUUCCCGCUGACUAAUAAAAGGGAUUAUUAAUAGUCGUAAUUAGCCGUUUAAUUUGAAUGGGAUGGUUUCACGUUCUGCGCGGCAUGAUGACACGAGAACCGCAAGAGAGGCACAGUCUUGCCACGAGUCUCAUCUUAAACCGUGACGAGCAUACGUGCUUAUCUUCUCCGUACGUGUCUGGCCGGCGGCAAUUUAUGAACCGCAAUACCGCGUAUAUUAUUCUCCGCAAUGCAUACAGGCGGUCUCAAAAGUUGCGCACUUUCACUUAAUGCACGUUUCAACUUGAUUACAUGCCGCUCGAUGGAGACUUGCUUGACGGAUAAUCGCUUUAAAAGAUUUUAUGAAGCAUUACCCGCGUCAUUACUCGCAAGUUUUUAACUUUUUAACGAGCUCUAACACAUUAAAUCAACAUUACAUUUAUUCAACGAUCUUUUUCCAAAGAGAAAGAAUUUCAAUGCAGCGAACGAGAAACUUCAGUGUCCAUUUAAAUCCAAAGCCUAAUCCGGCUAAUCCGAUUUCAAAGCAACUCCUCAACUUGCAACCGCAAUUGAAAGCAGUGGUAAUUGAAAGUGCCGUUGUUCUGGAACAUCCUGUAUGUUCAUCCGCCGCGGUUUUGCGUUGCAGAAUCGCGUGCCAGUAAUCACGUUCAACCUCGGAUAUCGUUGACACUUGCUCGCUCGAGAGCGUGAAAGCAUUCGUAAUCCUCUUAGCCAUGUCGAGAACAUGGCACACAAGCAAUAAUUUCGUUUUUCCAUUCAUUUUUAUUUGGACACUGUCAAAUUGCUGUUUUGCUGCAAAUUCAGUACUCCGAACUCAGUUGCCUGCGAUGAUCGAUCGUGCGCGAUGCGAUGAAAGGUACCGCAACUACGGAAACUACGGUACCGCAACAUCUAAUUCUAAUGCUAAAUCAACGAUUGUCAUAAUUUGUGUCAAAGUUUUAUCUAUUCCAGUAUUAUUAGCUAUUUUACGAAAUUUUUUAUUAGAAAAAUAUUUAUUAUUUAUUAUGAUUUUGCAUUUUCUUAUUGUUUAGCAAUUUGAACGCUAAAGCUUGCAUCACCGGACAUAUUUAGAUGUCGAGACCUCAACAGUUUAUCUGAUAUGGGAUUUUCGAGACACAAAGGCGCUCGCGUAAAGGGAAAAAUCGUGCAAAUGGCUGACGCAGAGGUACACGAGGCACGAGGAGAAGAUUAGGUGUACCGUUGGUGUAUCGAUUCACUGGCGGCUUCAGCUUUAUCGGGCGAAGGACUUUUCGCCUGUCGAACGGCGCUUGACACGUCCCGAAAUAAGACAAAAAGGAGGCGCGCAGGAAUGAAGGAAGCGCAACUAGGAUCCUUUGUAUCGUCACUCGACGAGAAACAUUUUCUUUUUGCGCGAGGUGAGUUCCUCUGUCCUUGUCACACCACUCUUCUCCCUGCCCCCGCUGCCGCAGCGAGCGGAAUCGUGGGUGAAACGGCCACCCUCGUUCGCCCCGGUUUUCUCUCCUGUCCGCAGGGAUUCAUAAGAAAAGUUGCGUACUUUGGCGUGGAAGCGGCCCUCUUUCGAAAAACACCCCUCUUUCACCGACUCGGUUUAGCUUUCGAUCCGCUCGUUCGAGUAAACGCUCGGCUUCGUGGGAUCAGCCGGUCUCCUCUUCCUCUCUUGUAUGUUCCUGCGAGAAAGUUUCUUCCCUCUUCUCUUCGUAUCACUUGUCUCGCUCCACGGCAGAGUCUCGUUUCUUACUCGCGGCGAAUAAACGCGCUGCUCGCCUGGACUUCGUCGAGUUUCCGCCUCCGCGAGAAUUAUUGAGAGGGAUGAUCGUUUGAAUUAAUUUCUCGCUUGGCGUUCUAACGCUUCCUCAGAAUGAGUAGCGCAAUACGCAAAGAGCAAAUCUUCCCGCGAUAAUGAUCUAAGUUUACGAAACUUGGUGUGCUCUUGCGGGAUUCAUAAUAAUCCCCGUUUUUAUUUUACUCUCUGAUGAGAAAUUCUAUUUUUGGAAUCAUUCCCGUGUUCUCUUCGAUGUGUCUUAUAUCUUAUAUCUCUUCCGAGCCGCAACGAUUUUGCGAGGCCGCGAGGGUGACGUUAUACACCCCCGAGUUUCCGAUGCUCGCGAGCGGAGGCCGUCGCCCGCGCAAGCACGCGAGAGCUUACGGUCAUAAAAGUUUAUUGCUCUUCCUUCCCGUGGUUCACUCCUUCACGGAGUGUUGCGGGAGCGAGACUUUGUCGCUUCCCCGCGCGAAAGGGGAUCCCUCCUGAGUCCGGGACACGCGGCCAUUUGCACGUGCUCGCGAUAUUUUUGUGCUGAUAUCCACCUGCCUCCGCUCCAUCCUAUCUCUUUAUUCCACCCUCUCGUGUGCCCCCUAGGAGGAUACAUCUACUUUAACCGCUUUACGCGAGGGGACCGUCGCGUUACUUUCCAGGCAUAUUCAAAUAUAUACGAAUGUAUCCGAUCGAUAUGAUUUAUCAAACGUCAACGAAAUACAGGCAUUGUGUGCGUGAAAUUAUGAUAAUUACGUUAAUGCAAUAGUAAUUUUUGUGUAGAAAUCUUCUGGCUGGCGGAAGCGAUCAUCGCGUGAUCGCUCGUUGAAAAUGACCAACUUCCGGCCGGCUAAUCUCCGCGGGAGAAAUCAAGUAACGAAUGGUUGCUACGUAUAUUUACGAAUUUAUGACACGAACGUGCCGUCUAUUUUCUCAAAGCGCCGAUUUCUCAUCCAAGAAUAUACCUUAGAUUACGAUAGACUUUACUACCCCCGCGAGAGGACUCGGAAAACAGGAGGAAGCCUGAAGACUGCAGCUUGCCACCGGAAGUGCCUGCAACUUCGCGAGCUGCGCAUUCCAUUGAGGUAAUUCACUUAAUUGCGUCGUAAUUGCAUCUUCGUCAGGCCAAGUCGCGAACAUCGCGAAGCGAGAAACCGAGAACGCGAGAAAGGCCAAGUGUAACCGCUGAGGGGAAGGAGGAGAGGUGAGGGGGAGGAUUAAACCCGGGCGUUUGUAAUUCGAAUUGAAUUUAUCGCCGCGGAAACUACGAAGCGACGAAGUGACGGACGGAUGAACGAACGAACGACGAAGGGGGUGGCUCGCACGGAUGAAUAAUGGAGGCCCCAAUGAGAUUUUCCAGUUCGCCGCGGGGCACCGUGAUAUUAGCUUACGGUCGCUAUCGCGACUCCGACGUGGUCCCCGGAACGGCGACCGCGAAGCGCACAACCCGACCCGAGGUUUUGGAUUCGAGCCACCCUUCUCCUCCUUCCCACCGCCUCUCGUGCUACGCUUUCAUACCUUUCUCACCCCCGACGCCGACAUCUAUUAACGGGGAACAAGCGGAAAGAAAUACAAGGAUUAAAGGGGAUGCGCGGGGUUGGAAGCGAUGCAUUGUGAGCACAGAUUAAAUUCUCAUCCCUCGCAAGAAAAGACCACCGAAUAAUUUCGUUGACGAGUCGCGUGUCCCUGAAUUGAUCGGCGACCGCUUUUACAAGACGGCGCAAGACGCGUAAAUGGAUAAUGCAGCCGGCAUCGAUCAGAUGAAUGAAGAGAUAGCGUGAAAGGGAAAGCAAGAUCGAAGGAGAACCGGCAAUUCGCGCGGCAGCCACCGCCGCUGGCGAGAAAAUUGCUUUCAGCUUGGCCUUUCGCGACACUUCGUCCGGGGGAGAGAAGUAGGAGCCGACCCUCCCUUGAAGAAACGAGAAACGAAAAUGUAUUUCCGGAUGUAUGCCGGCAAAUCGAAAACCCGGACCGGCGAUUGUGCGAAUGAGUGCCGAACCGUUCGAUGGAACCGGUGAAUGGUCCGCUCGGCAAAACCAGAGAAAUUACGUGGGUGGGCAGGCAGCCGUCAAGGACGCAGUUCUCUCUCGCAGCGAGAAGCGGAAAAUGUAGAACAAGAAGCGAGGAAAAGUAAGAGAGAUGAAGAGACAUCCGUGGGAGACCGCCGCGGGAAGAAUUAUCGGCCGACGUCCGGCGUGUUUUCCCUCUCGCGAGAGAAAUGCGCUCCUCACGAUAAAAUUGCGGCGCGAUCCGCGAGUCUGCUUUGCGAUUCAGACGCGUCUCCGGUACAUUACGCGAAUUGCCUAGGGACGAUUUCUACUGCGAAUUUGGGAAUUCCGAGGAAGUGAAAUUUCUUGACGAUUUUCAGGGAACAUUGUCUCGAAGAAUUUUGGAGCGUUUGAUAUUGUGAAGAGACAUAAUUUAUAUCUGUGUAUUAAAGCGAAUCAUUCAUCAG